UUCAUCAUCUCUCUCAGAACUCAGAGACGAACCAGACCUCUCCCUUUGAAACCCUAGCCUCCACCCCUCCCCUUCGCCGUAAACUCGGCGGCAACGAUUCCGAUGGUCGUGAGAUUAACAUCCCUAGAACAUCUGACCACCCCCAAUCCAAAUCCACCAUCUGUUUCCCUCGAAUCAUCCUAGAACUUCUCGAAUCUUCAAUCGAAGAUUCGAGCCAAACAUGAACCUAUCCCAACUAGGCCCAAAUUCUUACCAGACAACCCCAGACUUCCCUCAUGCCCAAACCGCCUUUGGUUUGGUUCGAAUCUGCCUAGAAAUGCUCAAAUCCCAAAUCAUAUAAAAAUAGAACCCUAAAUACCACGAACUGGAAUUUGAUCGGAUUGAGGGUCCUAACCGACCUUAGUCAAGUGUUCUCAGUCGAGAACACAUGAUUAAGGUCCGUUUAACCUAAAAUAUGUUCAAGCUCGAGAUUUGUCCGAAUCCAUUUGAUUUCUGAUUUUUCCUUUUGAUGUAUUUCUUCUUCCUUUUGUC
This 531-nucleotide long non-coding RNA is filed under the name Nicotiana benthamiana. Its description in RNAcentral is "long non-coding RNA (NBEN_LNC016200)". Lineage: Eukaryota; Viridiplantae; Streptophyta; Magnoliopsida; Solanales; Solanaceae. The record is from RNAcentral.